RNAcentral lists this ribosomal RNA (253 nucleotides) under uncultured bacterium. Its description in RNAcentral is "partial 16S ribosomal RNA". It matches the Rfam family "Bacterial small subunit ribosomal RNA", at positions 524 to 776 of the family's 1533-position model. The record is from RNAcentral.
GACGAACCGUGCGAACGUUGUUCGGAAUCACUGGGCUUAAAGGGCGCGUAGGCGGUUGAUCAAGUCUGGGGUGAAAUCUUUCGGCUUAACCGGAAAAGUGCCUUGGAUACUGGUCAGCUGGAGGGAGGUAGGGGCAGUUGGAACUUCCAGUGGAGCGGUGAAAUGCGUUGAUAUUGGAAGGAACGCCGGUGGCGAAAGCGAGCUGCUGGACCUCUUCUGACGCUGAUGCGCGAAAGCUAGGGGAGCAAACAGG